RNAcentral lists this long non-coding RNA (3089 nucleotides) under Hordeum vulgare. RNAcentral describes it as "long non-coding RNA (HVUL_LNC018767)". The record is from RNAcentral. Lineage: Eukaryota; Viridiplantae; Streptophyta; Magnoliopsida; Poales; Poaceae.
UAGUUUAUGAGGACACUACUGGCCACACAGAUGAACAUGACCUAUUACAUAAUUGAAUAUAGAGUAAACUGCAUGAAAAUGUACAAAAAAUGAUGAAGCCGUGUGCUACUCUAUAAGGAUUAUUCGCUGAUCACAUAAACGCACUGAUGGGAACAGAUUUGAGUGUCUAGUGUGUGAGGUCAAUUCAUCAAAAGGAAAAACAAAGCUGAUGAUGACAAAAAUUCAGGUUAGGGCCUAUCAGGGACCAUCGUGCAAUGGCAAGACAAAAGACGCAUUAAAAACUACUACUAGCCACCACACAGCUGCUACCGGCCACCACAAGGAUAGCACUGCUUGAAAAACUAGCACCCAUAUUUGAAAUUUUGGUUUCUCUUCAAGGAGGAUAUGUUGAAAUAUUAGGCAAUAUCAUGAUUGAUUCCAGUAUAUAAUUCAUGACUAGAACACAUAUUAGCAUGCAAUAAUCGAGCAAACUAGAUGAGCAACAAAGCAUGCAUAUCAUCAUCUUACACGAAGCAGCAACUACAGAAAGCGACAUGAACAGAUCACGAAGAACGUACCGUUUGUUAAAUGUUGCAGGCGAGACGGUGUUGAUGAUGAUGUCGUCGACAAUCUGUUGUUGACAGUGAUGAAAACGGCAAUGAGUAGCACCGCCCGACUUGGACGGUAGACGACCCGUGAUGACGAACAAAGCAUGCAUAUCAUCAUCUUACACGAAGCAACAACUACAGAAAGCGACAUGAACAGAUCACGAAGAACGUAUCGUUUGUUAAAUGUUGCAGGCGAGACGGUGUUGAUGAUGAUGUCGUUGACGAUCUGUUGUUGACAGUGAUGAAAACAGCAAUGAGUAGCACCGCCCGACUUGGACGGUAGAUGAUCCGUGAUGACGAAUUUGAGCAGUCGUGCAGAGCGCUUCCCAAAAACCUAUUUCAUUCUCUCCGAUGCAGGAUCGCAAAGACGGACGGUUUUGGAGACCUGCUCUCUCGUACGCCGUUGCACGUCGGCGUUCGAGAUGAAGUAGACUACUAUGGCGGCGCAAGUUUCGAGAUGAGGCAAAACCCUAGGUGUUUUCGGUAUAUCUUUGGAUGAGGCCGGUAAGCAAUAUAUAUAGGAGGACCAGAGGCGGUACCGUGUCGCGAUCACGAUCUCAAACCGACUUGGUUUCUAAGUCGUAUACUUACCGAACAAGAAAUAAUUAACUUGUCUGCCAAGACAUAAAAAAUAAACCAGCAAAAGGAAGCGCGCCCCCGCAAGGCAACGAACCGGAUUUCGGCGGACCAUUCACGCGUAUGUCGCACAUACGCGUCGCGCUGCCCCGCCCCGGCUAGGCCAGGCAGGCGAGGUGAGCACACGCGGGUGUGUGGUCUUCUCCUUUCUCUUCACAAUACACACUUAGAGUGGUGGGGAGAACUCAUUAUAUAAGGAGGUCCAACUCUUCCUCAACUAGCAGUAUGAGAAUAAACUUUAGUACCACCACUCCACCACUUGCCAUUUUAUUCAUGGGCUCACUUGAGAUUUCAGAAUUUGUAUACGGGCCAAGCUCAUUUAUUCUAACAAUCCCCCACCAGAUCUCAAAUACCCAUUUAGAGAUUUACCUUUUUCUCAUCACUUAUUUAAUAUACUAGUGUUUCAGUAGAGACUGUUAAGUUGAACUUUUGCCUAUAACUAUAAAAUACACCCAUCCACAACUUGGCAAUGGACUAUGCCUUGAAUUGCUAGUUUUGUGUGGAUAGAUUUCAUUCAAAGUCUUAACCAGUACCUGGCUGCCAGUAGGCUACUCCGCGGUUUGGAGCAUAUACGUCAUACUCCCUGGUCUCUUCGUGAGCUUACUAGAGAUCACCCAAGUCUCAUAGAUUGUGACGUUUACAAUCGGAGCUCAUAUAGGUGCGUUCUUUCAAGAUUGCUCUGUAGGACAUCAUCUUUCCUAUGGUAGCCAAUACACAUUAAGACAUGUUGCCAACCUGCCUUAGAGUAUUAAGCCUUACAGCUCUGAAAGUUUUGCAUCUUCACUUAGAGACGGUCACUUCUUACUCUCCUCUGUUAACCAAUAGCUUGUUCUUCCCAGGUCCUAAUUCACGGGAUCUCCGAUCACAAAGGUUGGGUUACUACUAUGGUUUAACAUCUAUGGGUAUCAUACCCAUCUCCCUCGAUGCAAUAUCUAUCGCAUUUCGUGAUAGUCCCUAAGUAAAAGGAUCUGCCAGGUUUUUAUCUGUUUGAAUAUACGUAACAGUUAUUACUCCGGAGUUUCUUAGCUUCCUGAUAGAUUUCAAACGUUUCUUCACAUGUCUUCAUGACUUCGCAUUAUCCUUAGAAUUAUUUACUUUAGCGAUAACCGUUUGGUUGUCACAAUUCAUAAGAAUAGCCGGUACAGGUUUUUCAACCACAGGCAAGUCCAUCAAGAGUUCACGCAGCCAUUCUGCCUCAACAGCGGUUGUGUCUAAAGCAGUUAGUUCUGCUUCCAUAGUUGACCUCGUCAAUAUGGUUUGCUUGCAAGACCUCCAUGACACUGCCCACCUCUGUGAGUAAAUACAUACCCACUUGUGGCGUAGAGUACAUCAACAUCGGAGAUCCAGUUUGAAUCACUAUAUCCUUCUAGCACAGCAGGAUGCCCUGAAUAGUGAAUUCCAUAACUCAAAUGUACCUCUCAGAUAGCGUGAGACCCUAUCAAGUGCAUGCCAAUGAUCAUUACUCGGGUUGGACAUGAACCUACUCAGUUUGCUUACUGCCUGCAUCUGACCCACCGAAUUUAGCUUUCAGUGCAUCCCAUAGUGUCUUCCCAUCUUGCAUGUGCAUGUACGCAUCACACAGACUGUCAGCAAGACCACUUAGAAUGCAUUUCAAAAACAUAGUGUUGGCUUCCUGGAACUUUCUCUGAUCUUCAUCAGUAGCUCCCUCUGGCAUGCCAACACUAACAUGGAAAACUUUUAGAGCGGUAAGCCAGCGUGGAUCUCACUUCCCACCUCUUGAAGUGCACACCGGUAAACUUGUCCGGCCUCAGUGCAUCAACAAAUUCAGCCAUAGUUAACUCAGGAAAUUGCCUACAAUUAGGUUUUUGGAUUGUUGAAAUAUUAGGCAAUAUCAUGAUUAAUUCC